Molecule: ribosomal RNA, 406 nt
Filed under: uncultured bacterium
Lineage: Bacteria
Description: partial 16S ribosomal RNA
Rfam family: Bacterial small subunit ribosomal RNA
Source: RNAcentral
AUUGAACGCUGGCGGCAGGCCUAACACAUGCAAGUCGAACGAGUGGCGGACGGGUGAGUAAUGUCUGGGAAACUGCCUGAUGGAGGGGGAUAAAUACUGGAAACGGUAGCUAAUAACGCAUACCAUCGGAUGUGCCAAGAUGGGAUUGGAUAGUUGGUGGGGUAACGGCUCACCGUGGCGACGAACCCUAGCUGGUCUGAGAGGAUGACCAGCCACACUGGAACGGAGACACGGUCCAGACUCCUACGGGAGGCAGCAGUGGGGAAUAUUGCACAAUGGGCGCAAGCCUGAUGCAGCCAUGCCGAGUGUAUGAAGAAGGCCUUCGGGUUGUAAAGUACUUUCAGCGGGGAGGCGUUACCCGCAGAAGAAGCACCGGCUAACUCCGUGCCAGCAGCCGCGGUAAUUC